This 469-nucleotide ribosomal RNA is filed under the name uncultured bacterium. RNAcentral's name for it is "SSU rRNA". It matches the Rfam family "Bacterial small subunit ribosomal RNA", at positions 26 to 523 of the family's 1533-position model. The record is from RNAcentral.
AGCCUGAACGCUGGCGGCGUGGUUAAGACAUGCAAGUCGUACGGAUGCAGCAAUGCAUCAGUGGCGAACGGGUGAGUAAUGAAUCGCUAACGUGCCCCGGACUCUGGGAUAGCUGACCGAAAGGGCAGGUAAUACCAGAUGACAUAACUUUGUCGCAUGACAAAGUUCUCAAAGGUCCGCCGGUCUGGGAGCUGGCGAUUUCGUAUCAGCUAGUUGGUAAGGUAACGGCUUACCAAGGCGACGACGCGUAGCCGGACUGAGAGGUUGGCCGGCCACAUUGGGACUGAGACACUGCCCAGACUCCUACGGGGGGCUGCAGUAACGAAUCUUCCGCAAUGCACGAAAGUGUGACGGAGCGACGCCGCGUGUGGGACGAAGCCCUUCGGGGUGUAAACCACUGUCAGGGGAAAGAAGUUCUGAUCUACCCCAGAGGAAGAGGCGGCUAACUCUGCGCCAGCAGCCGCGGUAA